GAUGAAGAACGUAGCGAAAUGCGAUAAGUAAUGUGAAUUGCAGAAUUCAGUGAAUCAUCGAAUCUUUGAACGCACAUUGCGCCCGCCAGUAUUCUGGCGAGCAUGCCUGUUCGAGCGUCAUUUCAACCAUCAAGCCCCCGGCUUGUGUUGGGGACCUGCGGCUGCCGCAGGCCCUGAAAAGCAGUGGCGGGCUCGCUGUCACACCGAGCGUAGUAGCAUACAUCUCGCUCUGGGCGUGCUGCGGGUUCCGGCCGUUAAACCACCUUCAUAACCCAAGGUUGACCUCGGAUCAGGUAGGAAGACCCGCUGAACUUAAGCAUAUCAAUAAGCGGAGGA
Molecule: unclassified non-coding RNA, 336 nt
Filed under: soil metagenome
Description: partial contains 5.8S ribosomal RNA, internal transcribed spacer 2, and large subunit ribosomal RNA
Rfam family: 5.8S ribosomal RNA (bases 1-120)
Source: RNAcentral